This 566-nucleotide ribosomal RNA is filed under the name Peltophryne taladai (Cuban spotted toad). Its description in RNAcentral is "partial 16S ribosomal RNA". It matches the Rfam family "Bacterial large subunit ribosomal RNA", at positions 1819 to 2597 of the family's 2925-position model. Lineage: Eukaryota; Metazoa; Chordata; Amphibia; Anura; Bufonidae. The record is from RNAcentral.
CGCCUCUUGAAUUUAUAUAAGAGGUCCAGCCUGCCCAGUGACCCUGUUCAACGGCCGCGGUAUCCUAACCGUGCGAAGGUAGCGUAAUCACUUGUUCUUUAAAUGAGGACUAGUAUGAACGGCACCACGAAGGUUAUACUGUCUCCUUUUUCCAAUCAGUGAAUCUAAUCUCCCCGUGAAGAAGCGGGGAUAAAACUAUAAGACGAGAAGACCCUAUGGAGCUUAAAACAAUACAGCACUUGCUAAAAAAUUUAACAAUUCCAGAAUUUUUCAUUUUAUAAGCAACAUGACUGUGAGUUUUUGGUUGGGGUGACCACGGAGUAUAACACAACCUCCACGUUGAAAGAAUUUUAUUCUAAGCCAAAAAUUACAUUUUUAAGCAUCAAUAAAUUGACAUCUAUUGACCCAAUACUUUUGAACAACGAACCAAGUUACCCUAGGGAUAACAGCGCAAUCCACUUCAAGAGCUCCUAUCGACAAGUGGGUUUACGACCUCGAUGUUGGAUCAGGGUUUCCCAGUGGUGCAGCCGCUACUAAAGGUUCGUUUGUUCAACGAUUAAAACCCU